Molecule: long non-coding RNA, 2839 nt
Filed under: Homo sapiens (human)
Lineage: Eukaryota; Metazoa; Chordata; Mammalia; Primates; Hominidae
Description: HSALNT0289544
Source: RNAcentral
UCCUGACCUCGUGAUCCUUGCAAAGGGACAUGCAGACCACAUUAGUGAGAAUAUGUGCCUGUAUUUUGCAAUCUGUAACAUGGGCAUAAACUAAAUGUUUUCCAAAGGGAAUAGGGCAAAACAAAAAGGACCUUGACCACUCCUUGGCCCUGAAUAAAUCCAGGAAGCCUAAGAGUAUGACUAUCCUGAGGUAGAAAGAGGGUCACAUGCUGGAUAAGAGGUACCUGGGCUCUCCACUUACAAGAAGAGAGCAUGGUUACAUUUAUAAUCACCAUUCCCAACAUGCUGUGAGUGCAGGCAGCUACCAGGAGGAGAACAAAGGAAAUAACCAGGACACUCAUCUCUAAACCUGUUAAUUUAAUCACACGGAACACUUCUAUUUAAAAUUCCCGAGAGUUAAGAUGUAAGAAUGCUUAUCAAGGUAAAUGCUGUUCACACUGCUUGGAGUGUCAGGCCUAGAUCUCUAUCCAUCAGAAACAACAAUAUCAAUAACAACAACAGCAACAUGAUGAUGGGGCAAUUUCUUAAAAGCACCAUGUAUUUUAUCGAUACAUGUCCGUUGCAGAAAAUCCAGGUGAAUCCAAAGAAGAAAUAAAUGUCUUCCACAAUCCCAUAGCCCAGAGCUAACUAACCACUAUAAAGAACCCAGCGUGGUUUUAACUCAUGGAUCAAAAGAUGCUCAUCAAAGGCUCUGAGCUUUCCUGAGUGCUAACAGGAAACAUCCAGCAUCACUGGUCUCUCCAAGGCUGCAGGUGUCUUUGCCCAUAGUGCCUGUUUUGUGUCAGGGAAAGAAUCAACCUGGGAGCCAAGCCCAGGAAUCAGGAUGACCAAGACAUACUGCACAAGGAGGGAACAAACCCAUCCAAGGACACUCAAGGACAAAUCAAGCAAAUGAAUUUAAGGGAGACGUGCUCAUGGUCUGCUUUGCUGCUCAGCAUGGCUGGGAGGCACAGUGGAAGAUCAUGCAUCCUGCCCCUGGGACUCCUCUGCCAGAGCCUGAGAGCUUUCUCCUGCCCACAGGCUAGGGGUAGGGCAGUUGGAAUUGAUCCAUGCCUUCUAGCUAGACUGUGGGUCCCCUCAGUCUUGGGCAUGGUGACAGCCCAGCAUCAGACAGAGGUCAGUAUCAAACUAGAAAAUGUAAUAAAUACUGUCAGAUUUGUAGACCCAAGAAAAUAUAAACUGCCAAUCAUGGAGGAAAAAAAUCUCUCAAUGAUCUUAUCUUUAUAUGAUUCCCUUGCUGCCUGGAGAUUGACAUUUCCUUGGGGAUAAUCUGGUCAUAGGAUUGGUGAAGGUGGAAGGGAGGCAACCUCCAAAGGUGGGGCCCUCUGCUCACCUGGGACAGGGAGGGCCUGAGGUAGGUGUCUGUGUGGGCUGGGGAGGAGGAUGGGAGCAGUGCUUCUAGAUGUUUCCACUUUCUCCUCAUUAGAUAAUAACGAAUGGGUGAUUUCCCUAGUCACUGCAGUGUGAGGAAAUCUACAAAAUUAAUUUCACAAUACACUUUACAGGAUAGGUGGAGAAACACAUGAAGCACAACUGCAGUGGGUUAUAAAAAACGGCCUUUUGAGUUGAGCAAUAAAUUCGUUCAAGCAGCCAUUCUGAAGGACAAACUGGCUCUGUAUUUAAGAGGGGCAUUCCAGCACUUCUCUAGCCACUGGGUUGACAAUGACUCACCAAAGCCUCUGGUAGCCACCACAGGACACCCAGAGCAUAUGUUUUAAAGCUGAACACCAAACUGCGGACUUCGGGAGGUCAUCAGCCUUCAAGCUUCAGUCUCUGUGUGUUCACAGGUGCUGUAAACACACGCAUCACUACUAAUAUCCCACUUCAGUGCUAUUGCUGCUCCCAAAACUCCAGGUAUUUUUAACCUUAUAAACCUCCAGAAUAAUGAGACCACUGGGUUCAGUAAAUUGCUUUGUUUUGAAGCAGUAUUAGACAAAGUGGGAGACUAGAAGAUAAAUCUGUCAAUGACAUGUCCUUUAAGACUACUUAGAUUUUGUUGAAUUUGUGGAUCAUUCCUUACUUGAGCAAAUGGUAAAUUAACUCUCUCUUUUCUCUCUCUCUCUAGCUGGCACACUUUUUCCAGUAGCCAUUCUACUUGGUAUGCUUACUUAUCAGCUGUCCUCCAGGGGCCUCACAUUAGAUGUUUCUCUGACUAACCAAACAUGACACACAGCUGAAGUCAGAAAAACCAGAUUGAUAAUUUCACUCAAACUAUUUUCCUUCAUUCUAACAAUUUACUGGAGUACACAAUUGUGACUAUUUUUAGCCAUAGGAACUCAUAGAAAGACCAACUUCAUUAGACCUACAAAAUCGAAUUGUGUAACAGUAUAUGCAGUAUGUGUAGGAAUAAAAAGCAUUUCUCAAAUAUGCAGUACUGGAUUUUGCAAAAGCACCUUACACUUAGCUAUAAAGGAGUGGAAAACACAAAGAUGAGUAACUGCACCUUUCAAAAGACUAGAGCUAUACCAAUAAUACAAAGGUGUAAACAAAUAAUGAUGAGAUGACAAAGGCUGAGUGUUUUCUAUUUGGAAGCUAUGUUGUUGAGUUAUUUAUGUAUAUAAUUUCAUGCAAUCUUCAUGUUAUGGGGAUGUUCUAAUCCACUGUGACUCUGUCCUUAAAUAAAAGGGAGAUUUGGACAUAGAGAGAGGCACACGGGGAGGAUGCCAUAUGAGAAUUGACACUGUGCUGUCACAAGCCAAGGAACUACUGGAAGGAGAGAAAGAGGACUGGAACAGUUCCUUCCUUAGCACCUUUUCAGGCAGCCUAGCCCUGCCAGCUUCUUGAUCUGGACUUCUCACCUCUAGAAUUGUGAGGCAAUAAAUCUCUGUUGCUUAAGUUA